Non-coding RNA from Ictidomys tridecemlineatus (thirteen-lined ground squirrel), 935 nucleotides. The record is from RefSeq and is a predicted model, not a curated record. Lineage: Eukaryota; Metazoa; Chordata; Mammalia; Rodentia; Sciuridae.
UCAUAUAUGUGAAAUAAGGCAGCCACCUGAAGGCAGCUCAAGGCUGCUCUUCAAUUUUGAGGUCCUAUUUAGGUUAAGUGAGGGUUUCCAGACAGGUGUUACUGAACAACUAAGUCUCAGCCUUGUGCUUGGCAUCUGGAGAGUCACAGAAGCCAUUAAAAUAUGCUUCUCCUGCCUGUAGGGCAUGUAUCAGUCAUUGGUUGUGUGAAUACACACGUCUCACGGCAUCUGGAGGGCUUCUCAAUCUGAGCACCUUUGACACCAAGGGCUGGUUGUCUGGGGGCUUGUACUACUACUCAAUGUGCUGAAGACCAGUUAUGGACCCAGUGAUGACUAUGCAUAGCUUCAAGCAGACUGUGUUGGGUUUGAAGAGCUCUUGAGAUUUUUGAAUAGAGGUACUGAAUGAUGGUUAUGGGGUCAUCAACCUUUUCUUCUUCCUCCUAUUAAGUCCUUUGGAACAGAGGCAGGUCUCCUGGAGUCCUCUCCUUGGUGGCUUUUAUUCGUACAAGGAUGGGGGAAUAUAUAAAUCAGUCUGCUGCCUUGCCUCCCAGGAGCUUCUCUGUCCACUCCAAUCCUGCCUACAAGCAAGUGACCUUCAUGAAAGCAUGUAUUUAACCAUUGUCUUCACCAUUGUACAGUCCCCAGGCAUUGGUCAGUCCUGCCCCAGAAUAGGAGCCCACUCAGUUUUUAUGGAAUACAUCUGUUGAGUGAAUAAGAAAUCCUUCUUUUCCUUUGUUAGCUAUCCUAUUCUUCUCCAUGUUUGUCCCCCAUCUUCAAGGAAGCCUUUUCCUACUCAAUCAAUAUUCAUCGUCCUUUAAAAUUUCUUCAAAGACCUUUGUCCCCAGAACAUUGGCCUUCAGGUCUAGACCACGCAUGAACUCCGAUGGUGUGAAGUUCCAUUUUGUGUAAUGUGUGUUAAACGGGUCUCAACAGGA